Molecule: non-coding RNA, 713 nt
Organism: Camellia sinensis
Lineage: Eukaryota; Viridiplantae; Streptophyta; Magnoliopsida; Ericales; Theaceae
Source: RefSeq, a predicted model, not a curated record
AGUACAAGGAACGAAAAUCUGUCCUUGGGUGGUUAGUAGAUAAUUGUUUUGAUGAGUCGAAGAAAGAGAUAUUUGCUAUGAAACCAACCUUGGAAUAAAAACAUAAAAUAAAAAAGAAAAAUAAGUCAAGGAAAUUAGGAAAGCGUAUUUUGACAACACAACUUAAAGUAUGAAAUAGUGUUUUCAAAAUAUAGUUUUGAAGAAUUUUACAAUAAGUUAAUUGAGUUUUACAGGUAGGUAUGAAAUUACAUUUAUGGUUUUAUGAUAGUUGUUAACUUCUAUUGAGCUAUGAAAUUACUUUCCAAUUCCAAUUCCAGUAUGGUAUUCUAGCGGCUUUAACUUUACAGCUUAAUUCCGACGAACGGUCUCCAGCAAGAAAAGGUUCAGUAUCUUAGCAGCAGCAGCAGCAGCAAUGGAGGUCAAAUUGGAGCCACCACCGAAGGCAAUCACCUCUCCCUGUCAAUGAGCAACAAUCAGCAAAGGCCGUUCAUCAAUCCUCCGCAACUGUUUGCAACUGCUGCAGCAUCAUCAGGAUUCCCACAGCAGAUAACUACCCGACCCCAAAAUUGGCUACACCAGAAAAAUUGAUUUUACUCUCUGAUGAGACCCUCUUGACCCAACUUUUUGUUUUUUGUUUUUUAAAUCUUUAUAUAACAAGGCCUUUGGAGUUUGUAAGCAUGUAAAGAUUAAUGCUUUGAGCUUAUAUUUCUUCA